Molecule: ribosomal RNA, 863 nt
Filed under: uncultured bacterium
Lineage: Bacteria
Description: bacterial SSU rRNA
Rfam family: Bacterial small subunit ribosomal RNA
Source: RNAcentral
GAUGUUGAUCCUGGCUCAGGAUGAACGCUAGCGGCAGGCUUAACACAUGCAAGUCGAGGGGCAGCAGGUCUUCGGACGCUGGCGACCGGCAAACGGGUGCGGAACACGUACGCAACAUACCCUUUACAGGGGGAUAGCCCGAAGAAAUUCGGAUUAACACCCCAUAGUAUAGUGGAGAGGCAUCUUUCUGUUAUUAAAAAUUUAUUGGUAAAGGAUUGGCGUGCGUCCCAUUAGAUAGUUGGCGGGGUAACGGCCCACCAAGUCAGCGAUGGGUAGCUGGUGUGAGAGCACGACCAGCCACACGGGCACUGAGACACGGGCCCGACUCCUACGGGAGGCAGCAGUGAGGAAUAUUGGUCAAUGGACGCAAGUCUGAACCAGCCAUGCCGCGUGGAGGAUGACAGCCUUCUGGGUUGUAAACUUCUUUUAUAUGGGAAGAAAAGUACGGUUUCUACUGUAUCCGACGGUACCAUAUGAAUAAGCACCGGCUAACUCCGUGCCAGCAGCCGCGGUAAUACGGAGGGUGCAAGCGUUAUCCGGAUUUACUGGGUUUAAAGGGUGUGUAGGCGGAUAUUUAAGUCAGAGGUGAAAUCUCCGAGCUCAACUCGGAAACUGCCUUUGAUACUAUUUAUCUUGAAUUUCGUUGAGGUUGGCGGAAUAUAUCAUGUAGCGGUGAAAUGCAUAGAUAUGAUAUAGAACACCGAUUGCGUAGGCAGCUGGCUGAACGAACAUUGACGCUGAGGCACGAAAGCGUGGGUAGCGAACAGGAUUAGAUACCCUGGUAGUCCACGCCCUAAACGAGGAUUACUCGACAUACGCGAUACACAGUGUGUGUCUGAGCGAAAGCAUUAAGUAUCCACCUG